RNAcentral lists this ribosomal RNA (412 nucleotides) under Odorrana sp. K3115. RNAcentral describes it as "partial 16S ribosomal RNA". It matches the Rfam family "Bacterial large subunit ribosomal RNA", at positions 1834 to 2442 of the family's 2925-position model. Lineage: Eukaryota; Metazoa; Chordata; Amphibia; Anura; Ranidae. The record is from RNAcentral.
CUUGAUUAAAUAUAAGAGGUCCAGCCUGCCCAGUGACUUAGUUCAACGGCCGCGGUACCCUGACCGUGCGAAGGUAGCAUAAUCAUUUGUUCUCUAAAUGGGGACUUGUAUCAACGGCAUCACGAGGGCUAUACUGUCUCCUUCCUCUAAUCAGUGAAACUGAUCUCCCCGUGAAGAAGCGGGGAUUAAAAAAUAAGACGAGAAGACCCCAUGGAGCUUUAAACUUAUUAUGCACCUUAAGUUUUAUUAACCAUACCAAGCUUUAAAGAUCUGCAUAAUCGCUUUAGGUUGGGGAGACCGCGGAGUAUAAUAAAACCUCCUUGAUAGAUGGGCUAUGCCCUUAUCCAAGAGCUACAUCUCUAAGAAUCAAAAACCUGAUAUUUAAUGRCCCGASUAUUCAAUUAACGAACCA